This 419-nucleotide ribosomal RNA is filed under the name uncultured soil bacterium. Its description in RNAcentral is "bacterial SSU rRNA". It matches the Rfam family "Bacterial small subunit ribosomal RNA", at positions 26 to 445 of the family's 1533-position model. The record is from RNAcentral.
AGAUUGAACGCUGGCGGCAUGCCUUACACAUGCAAGUCGAACGGUAGAGUAGCAAUACUUGAGAGUGGCGAACGGGUGAGUAAUAUAUCGGAACGUGCCCAGUCGUGGGGGAUAACGUAGAGAAAUUUACGCUAAUACCGCAUACGAUCUAAGGAUGAAAGCGGGGGAUCGCAAGACCUCGCGCGAUUGGAGCGGCUGAUAUCAGAUUAGGUUGUUGGUGAAGGUAAAAGCUCACCAAGCCGACGAUCUGUAGCUGGUUUGAGAGAACGACCAGCCACACUGGGACUGAGACACGGCCCAGACUCCGUACGGGAGCAGCAGGUGGGAAUUUUGGACAAGUAGGGGGAAACCCUGACUCCAGCCAUCCCGCGUGUGCGAGUGAACGGCCUUACGGGUUAGUAACGUACUACGUUUGGACG